This is a long non-coding RNA of Exaiptasia diaphana, 711 nucleotides long. RefSeq lists it as uncharacterized. NCBI's taxonomy places the organism in Eukaryota, Metazoa, Cnidaria, Anthozoa, Actiniaria, Aiptasiidae. The record is from RefSeq and is a predicted model, not a curated record. The transcript is spliced from 2 exons.
CAGUUUAUUUGGAAGAAGAGGAGCGUAGAAGACAUCUCUAGUUGACCAUCCACCAUGAACAGCCGCUCACACAUCCACUAUAGCACAUACAUGAAGAUCCAGCAAAACUAAACUCAAAAUGGUUAAAAGGUCUUGCCUAUUAGUUGAUAAAUAUGUGAGCCGAGACAGUGCACGUGCGUUUUUUAACAUCUUCCUUGGAGCUCAACUAGCCAGCUACACUUUAUAAAAGUUACAAAUGCUGCUGGAAAUAGUUUUGGUAGCCAAUGUCUCCUGCUGAAAAGGUACCUAUCUCACAAACUUUUCCGUAGAAGCGAUAGACUCCUCUUGCGGUUUAUUUUGAGGUUCAAUAAAAGGCGCUAGCUGUUGGUUCUUGUCAUGUCAAGUACGUCUCUUUGCUUUGAGCGAUAGACUUCGUUCGAAUUCGUUUUUUUUUAUUUUUGAGUCAUUAAAUUAAAAGCACUUGCGUCUUGUCUUGAUUUUUAGCUUAGACUUUAACAAUAAACUCGUUAGAAAACACGUUCAUUUGCGUACUGGGUCUUUGAUUAUUUUUACUUUAGCUUUACAAUGUCUUGUGCCUUGAUUUUGUAGCAAAAUGACUCAAAUAAUUAAACGCGUUUUAUUGUUUAUUGAAGUUAUUUUUUAGAUUAAAUUGUGUCUUUUGUCGUUUUUUCGGCAGUAGCACAAAUGAAUAAAGGCUCUGAAAUCAUUUCA